RNAcentral lists this ribosomal RNA (245 nucleotides) under uncultured Sphaerochaeta sp. RNAcentral's name for it is "partial 16S ribosomal RNA". It matches the Rfam family "Bacterial small subunit ribosomal RNA", at positions 524 to 768 of the family's 1533-position model. The record is from RNAcentral. Lineage: Bacteria; Pseudomonadati; Spirochaetota; Spirochaetia; Spirochaetales; Sphaerochaetaceae.
CACGUAGGGGGCGAGCGUUGUUCGGAAUCAUUGGGCGUAAAGGGCGAGCAGGCGGUCCUGCAAGUCCGGCGUGAAAGACCCCGGCCCAACCGGGGGGACGCGCUGGAAACUGCGGGGCUUGAGUACAGGAGGGGAUGCCGGAAUUCCAGGUGUAGGGGUGAAAUCUGUAGAUAUCUGGAAGAACACCAAUGGCGAAGGCAGGCAUCUGGCCAUGUACUGACGCUGAGACGCGAAGGUGCGGGGAG